Megalopta genalis is the source of this 2741-nucleotide non-coding RNA. NCBI's taxonomy places the organism in Eukaryota, Metazoa, Arthropoda, Insecta, Hymenoptera, Halictidae. The record is from RefSeq and is a predicted model, not a curated record.
GCGCAAUACAAGUCUCUGUGAAGGUUGCAUCACUACAUGUGAAGUUGGGGUACCCACGUCUCUUUGCUGAUUUUUGUCAAUUUAGACGAUAUAACAUAUAAAAAUCAAAAUGUUAACUGCUGCAAAGUUGUUAACUCGAAGUUGCAGCAGUGUCACCUGCGACAUUGCUAGAAAACAACAGUUCAGCACGAUUCUUAAAAAUGUAGCACCUUCUGCCUACAUUGUACCUCAACAAGCUACUAAUAUACAUCAAUAUCGAUACAAAUCGGAAGAAGUAAAAGGUGCAGUUAUUGGUAUUGAUCUUGGAACAACAUUCUCAUGUGUAGCUGUAAUGGAAGGAAAACAAGCUAAGGUUAUUGAAAAUGCUGAGGGUUCACGAACGACUCCGUCUUAUGUUGCAUUUACUAAAGAUGGAGAGCGUUUGGUUGGUAUGCCAGCUAAACGUCAAGCAGUUACAAAUUCAUCAAAUACAUUUUAUGCUACGAAACGAUUAAUUGGACGAAAAUUUGAAGAUCCAGAAGUGAAAAAAGAUAUGAAAACUGUGACUUAUAAAAUUGUUCGAGCUUCCAAUGGAGAUGCAUGGGUACAAGGAGGGGAUAGUAAAAUGUACUCUCCUAGUCAAAUUGGUGCUUUUGUACUUAUGAAAAUGAAAGAGACGGCAGAAGCAUAUUUAAGUACUGGAGUGAAAAAUGCUGUAAUUACUGUUCCUGCAUAUUUUAAUGACUCACAAAGACAAGCAACAAAAGAUGCUGGACAGAUUGCUGGUCUCAAUGUUCUUAGAGUAAUCAAUGAACCAACAGCAGCUGCUCUUGCAUAUGGCAUGGAUAAAACAGAAGAUAAAAUCAUCGCAGUAUAUGAUCUAGGGGGUGGUACAUUUGAUAUCUCAAUCUUAGAAAUCCAAAAAGGAGUCUUUGAAGUAAAAUCCACGAAUGGGGAUACUUUCUUGGGAGGAGAAGACUUUGAUAAUACUUUAGUUAAUUAUUUAGUAUCAGAAUUCAAGAAAGAUCAAGGUAUAGAUAUAGCUAAAGAUGCUAUGGCCAUGCAACGGUUGAAAGAAGCAGCUGAAAAGGCGAAAAUUGAAUUGUCUAGUUCUCUACAAACAGAUAUAAAUUUACCUUAUCUGACUAUGGAUGCUAGUGGACCAAAGCACUUGAACCUUAAACUUUCCAGAAGUAAAUUUGAGAGUCUUGUUGGUGAUUUAAUUAAACGUACUAUUCAACCAUGUCAGAAAGCACUUUCUGAUGCUGAAGUAUCAAAAUCUGAUAUUGGAGAAGUAUUGUUGGUUGGCGGUAUGACAAGAGUACCUAAGGUUCAACAAACAGUGCAGGAAAUUUUUGGUCGACAACCAUCAAAAGCUGUAAAUCCUGAUGAAGCUGUAGCUGUUGGCGCUGCAGUUCAGGGAGGAGUACUUGCUGGAGAUGUAACCGAUGUUCUUCUUCUAGAUGUUACUCCACUCUCGCUUGGUAUUGAAACGUUAGGUGGUGUGUUUACAAGAUUAAUUACACGAAAUACGACUAUUCCUACGAAGAAAAGUCAAGUAUUCUCCACAGCAGCUGAUGGUCAAACUCAAGUAGAAAUCAAAGUUCAUCAAGGUGAACGAGAAAUGGCUCACGAUAAUAAACUUUUGGGACAAUUUACUCUCGUUGGAAUUCCACCUGCACCAAGAGGAGUGCCACAAAUAGAAGUCACAUUUGAUAUUGAUGCCAAUGGUAUUGUUCAUGUAUCCGCUAGAGAUAAAGGCACUGGAAAAGAACAGCAAAUUGUUAUUCAAUCGAGUGGUGGCCUCAGUAAAGACGAAAUUGAAAACAUGGUUAAGAAUGCUGAACAGUAUGCUAAACAAGACAAGAUGAAGAAAGAAAGAGUUGAGGCUGUAAACCAAGCGGAAGGAAUUAUUCAUGAUACGGAAAGUAAAUUAGAAGAAUUCAAAGCACAAUUACCACAAGAAGGAUGUGACCAAUUAAGGGAACUGCUUGCUAAAAUGCGAGAAACAUUAGCGAAGAAAGAUGAUCUAGAACCAGAAGAAAUUAAAAAGCAGUCGAAUGAAUUACAACAAGCAAGCCUUAAACUGUUUGAAAUGGCGUACAAAAAGAUGGCUGCAGAACGAGACAGUCAAAGUCAACAGGAACCUGGAGCAGAAAAGAAGGAAGAAAAGAAUUAAUAACAUUUAAGACAACAUAUUCAGGAAAAACAAAUUAAUUGCACAGAUGUAGGAGCACCAAUAACACUUUACACGUUCAAAAGAAAUUCAUCGUUAUGUAACAGGUAACAAAAUUUAAGCAAAUAAUGAACGAUGUAUUAGUAUUUUUAUUUUUUGAACAUGUGUGAUUGAUAAUAGGAAAUAUUAAUUUGAAAUUAAAAGGUUAUGUAUAGAGAUAAGAUUUGUUCACAAUUAUAAUAUAUGUAUUACUUUAUAAUUACAUAAAUUUUUAACAUUUCUCAAAAAAGAUAUUAAGCAAAUAGCUUUCAAAUCAUUUUGAUUUAAUUCGUACUAUUGAAUUAUUUGAAAAUAAUAAAUACGAAAAGAUAAAUUUUUAUCAAAUAUUUUGGAAAGUAUAUAUUUAUUACACAAUCAAGUAUCAUCUUCUGUGAGGAGGUAAAAUUGUAUACUCUGUAUAUAACUAUUUACGUUAUGACAUUUGCUGUUAGCAGUUUAUUAUUACAUGCAGGGAAGUGUUAAAAACAUGUACUUCCUUGUCAGUUUAACUUGAAUUCAAUAAGAACAGAGGAAAUUGGUAGUUAAA